This 1927-nucleotide unclassified non-coding RNA is filed under the name Hevea brasiliensis (rubber tree). The record is from RNAcentral. Lineage: Eukaryota; Viridiplantae; Streptophyta; Magnoliopsida; Malpighiales; Euphorbiaceae.
AAAAAAGAAAGAAGAAGAAGAAGAUGUAUCCCACAAUGAGGUAAAGAAUAAUAAAACAAUUUAUCUGUGCAUAUUUAAAUGCAUAACAAAGAUUUUAUCCAUUGCAAAAUGGGCUAAUAGUAAAAAAUAUCCUGAACUUUGUACAAAUUUUCAAAUUUAUCCUAUUCUUUCAAUUUUAUCAAUUUUAGCCUAAACUAUAACAUUGAUAACUAUUUUCUCCAAUUUAGUGGAAUAGAAUUGAAUAGUACAUAUGUGUGUGUGUAUGCAAUAACUAAUAAGUAAAUAUUUUUUAAAAAUUAUUUCCUUCAUAAAAAAUUGAUAUCUUUUAUUUAUCAAUUACUAGGAAAAAUUAAAAUAGUUAUUUUUUGAAUGAAAAAAUAAAGCAGAAAAUAUUUUAUGUUUACUAGCAUUACAAAUAAAUAAAACAUAUAAUUUAUUAUUCUGAUUAAUAUAGUUGCAAAGGGUUUAUCUGUACAUUUUUGUUUCCUCUUGCUAAAAUGGAUAAUAUGUUACUAAUAUUAUAAUUUAGGUUAUAAUCGAUCAAAAAUAAAAAGAAUAUGAAAUAUUUCAAAGAAAGUGCUAAGUUCAGGAUUUUUAGGUUAUUGGGCCUUUAUUUAUUUAUAUGACCCAUUGUUUUCAACAUCUAACAACAUAAUAUAACUUAAUGGCAACAUUCUAUUAAAUACAUUAUUUUUAGUUUAAAUUUGUGUAUGUAUAAGUUUUAAACAACUAAACAAAAACAAAUGAGUAUGUUCAUGAAAAUAAUCGAGCCAAGUUUAACUUCAUUUGUAUUCAUUCAUUUACCAAUUGAGCUCAAAUUUUUUGUUCAAAUUUGUUCAUUUAACUCAUUAAAACAGCAUAAACUUUUACCGAGCUUGUUUACAAGCUAUUCACCAAUUGUUCAAGUACGAUGACACACCUAACAGGUUUAAGCAAAUGAUGAGAGAGAAUGGUGAUAGGAAGUUUCUUUUAUGCAUAUCAAAUAGACAAAUAAAUAAUAUUGCAAUAUAAAUUAUAAGGUAUUUCUUCCACAAUAUCAGGGAGGGAGCACAAAGUCAAAUGGAUUCUUCCUUUGUAAGUUCCUGCAGAAUUAUUUCAAUGUAAGUAUGUAACAGCCUCCUAGUUAAGGAACUUAAACAAAGGAGAACCAAUUCCUAAAUCUGAAUUAAAAUUCAAACAGAGCCCACUCCAUUCCCACAAGAUUUGUAACUGUAAGCAUUAACCCAUAUCAAUCAGAGCUAUGUGUUAAGUUAUAUUACUUUAAACCAUCUUAUGCACAGAUUAGAAGGCAGUUAUAGAAAGCACGUUUCAAAAGCUGUAACAGAACCAAAUGCAUAUACGGAGUCCUCAAAUUCAGAUGUUAACUCAGGGUGUGGUGGACAGCAUAUUAUUCAAUAUAUUUGAUAAAUUACGAAAAAUCCAAUGCAUGAUUCGCUUCAAUACUGAUUUUAGAUGUGUAGAUACAGUUUCCAUUAAAAAAUAAAACAUAAUAAACAUUGGUUUUAUUGAUAUAUAGAUACUGGUUUUAUAAAAAGAUCAGGCACCAUAAACAUUGAUUUUAUUGAUAUAUAACCAGUGACAAAAACCUAUGCUGAAUUAGGCCUGAUAAAACAAAUUAAAGAAAAAAUGAUCCAAACCUUUGUUGGGCUUCCAGUAAACCAAAUUCAAGGCAGAUCCGACAUCAAAAUGAGCCAAUUUUAUAAAUAUCAGUCAUAAAUAAAAAUUCAAGCAAUGUUAGAACAAAUAAUGCAAAACAAAAUAAUCACAGACCUUUAAGAAACCAAGGCACAAGUCAAGAUGAAUCAAAAAGCAUCAAGAGGGCCAAUUCCACUAUAGCUUGGAAUCAGUUUCCUUGAAAUUAAUAAAUCACAAGUAAUUCCAGGUCAAAAAAGAUGUAGAACACACCUCAGAUGCAACAUAAACAAAA